This 91-nucleotide non-coding RNA is filed under the name bovine gut metagenome. RNAcentral's name for it is "SAM riboswitch (S box leader)". It matches the Rfam family "SAM riboswitch aptamer (S box leader)". Rfam says of the family: The SAM riboswitch is found upstream of a number of genes which code for proteins involved in methionine or cysteine biosynthesis in Gram-positive bacteria. The SAM riboswitch acts at the level of transcription termination control. The predicted structure consists of a complex stem-loop region followed by a single stem loop terminator region. The record is from RNAcentral.
CUUAUAAAGAGUGACGGAGGGAUCGGCCCUGUGAAGUCCGGCAACCUGCAUCAGCAAGGUGCCAAAUCCGACGGUAAAACCGGGAGAUAAG